RNAcentral lists this unclassified non-coding RNA (279 nucleotides) under plant metagenome. Its description in RNAcentral is "partial contains small subunit ribosomal RNA, internal transcribed spacer 1, and 5.8S ribosomal RNA". The record is from RNAcentral.
UUUCCGUAGGUGAACCUGCGGAAGGAUCAUUAUUGAAUAACCGAGGUGCGAGGGCUGACGCUGACCCGAAAGGUCGGGGACGCCCGAGUGGCCUCACACACAACCAUCGCACCACAAUGUGCACCACCGCGAGGGUCUGCCUGUGGAUUGUUCGGAGGGGGGAUUACGAUUACACACAAAAAUUGUAGGCAGUGUAGAAUGUAUUUUGUGUAUUUACGAAGACGCAAUGAAGACAACUUGCAACAACGGAAGUAUUGGCUCUCGCAUCGAGGAAAAACG